GCGUUUGUGGUUUAGUGGUAAAAUCGAUCCUUGCCAUUAGUGUUUCCCACGACCAACUUGGAUUGGCCCCGGGUUCGAUUCCCGGCGAACGCA
RNAcentral lists this transfer RNA (93 nucleotides) under Calycina marina. It matches the Rfam family "tRNA". From Rfam's summary of the family: Transfer RNA (tRNA) molecules are approximately 80 nucleotides in length. Their secondary structure includes four short double-helical elements and three loops (D, anti-codon, and T loops). Further hydrogen bonds mediate the characteristic L-shaped molecular structure. tRNAs have two regions of fundamental functional importance: the anti-codon, which is responsible for specific mRNA codon recognition, and the 3' end, to which the tRNAs corresponding amino acid is attached (by aminoacyl-tRNA synthetases). tRNAs cope with the degeneracy of the genetic code in two manners: having more than one tRNA (with a specific anti-codon) for a particular amino acid; and 'wobble' base-pairing, i.e. permitting non-standard base-pairing at the 3rd anti-codon position. Lineage: Eukaryota; Fungi; Ascomycota; Leotiomycetes; Helotiales; Pezizellaceae. The record is from Rfam by way of RNAcentral.